This 763-nucleotide ribosomal RNA is filed under the name uncultured Streptococcus sp. RNAcentral's name for it is "bacterial SSU rRNA". It matches the Rfam family "Bacterial small subunit ribosomal RNA", at positions 28 to 776 of the family's 1533-position model. The record is from RNAcentral. Lineage: Bacteria; Bacillati; Bacillota; Bacilli; Lactobacillales; Streptococcaceae.
GACGUACGCCGGCGGCGUGCCUAAUACAUGCAAGUAAAACGCUGAAGGAGGAGCUUGCUCUUCUGGAUGAGUUGCGAACGGGUGAGUAACGCGUAGGUAACCUGCCUGGUAGCGGGGGAUAACUAUUGGAAACGAUAGCUAAUACCGCAUAAGAGUAGAUGUCGCAUGACAUUUGCUUAAAAGGUGCAAUUGCAUCACUACCAGAUGGACCUGCGUUGUAUUAGCUAGUUGGUGAGGUAACGGCUCACCAAGGCAACGAUACAUAGCCGACCUGAGAGGGUGAUCGGCCACACUGGGACUGAGACACGGCCCAGACUCCUACGGGAGGCAGCAGUAGGGAAUCUUCGGCAAUGGACGGAAGUCUGACCGAGCAACGCCGCGUGAGUGAAGAAGGCUUUCGGAUCGUAAAGCUCUGUUGUAAGAGAAGAACGAGUGUGAGAGUGGAAAGUUCACACUGUGACGGUAUCUUACCAGAAAGGGACGGCUAACUACGUGCCAGCAGCCGCGGUAAUACGUAGGUCCCGAGCGUUGUCCGGAUUUAUUGGGCGUAAAGCGAGCGCAGGCGGUUAGAUAAGUCUGAAGUUAAAGGCUGUGGCUUAACCAUAGUACGCUUUGGAAACUAUUUAACUUGAGUGCAAGGGGGGAGAGUGGAAUUCCAUGUGUAGCGGUGAAAUGCGUAGAUAUAUGGAGGAACGCCGGUGGCGAAAGCGGCUCUCUGGCUUGUAACUGACGCUGAGGCUCGAAAGCGUGGGGAGCAAACAGG